AUUGGACGCUGGCGGCAUGCUUAACACAUGCAAGUCGAACGCGAAAGUCCUUCGGGGCGAGUAGAGUGGCGGACGGGUGAGUAACGCGUGGGAAUCUACCCUAGAGCGGGGGACAACCCGGGGAAACCCGGGCUAAUACCGCAUACGUCCUACGGGAGAAAGAGGGCCUCUGCUUGCACGCUCUCACUCCAGGAUGAGCCCACGUCCGAUUAGCUAGUUGGUAGGGUAAAGGCCUACCAAGGCCACGAUCGGUAGCUGGUCUGAGAGGAUGAUCAGCCACACUGGGACUGAGACACGGCCCGA
RNAcentral lists this ribosomal RNA (303 nucleotides) under uncultured bacterium. Its description in RNAcentral is "bacterial SSU rRNA". It matches the Rfam family "Bacterial small subunit ribosomal RNA", at positions 30 to 334 of the family's 1533-position model. The record is from RNAcentral.